UACGGGGGGAGCAAGCGUUAAUCGGAAUUACUGGGCGUAAAGCGUGCGCAGGCGGUUGUGCAAGACAGAUGUGAAAUCCCCGGGCUCAACCUGGGAACUGCAUUUGUGACUGCACGGCUAGAGUGUGUCAGAGGGGGGUAGAAUUCCACGUGUAGCAGUGAAAUGCGUAGAUAUGUGGAGGAAUACCGAUGGCGAAGGCAGCCCCCUGGGAUGACACUGACGCUCAUGCACGAAAGCGUGGGGAGCAAACAGG
Molecule: ribosomal RNA, 253 nt
Filed under: uncultured bacterium
Lineage: Bacteria
Description: partial 16S ribosomal RNA
Rfam family: Bacterial small subunit ribosomal RNA
Source: RNAcentral